Molecule: ribosomal RNA, 208 nt
Filed under: uncultured bacterium
Lineage: Bacteria
Description: partial 16S ribosomal RNA
Rfam family: Bacterial small subunit ribosomal RNA
Source: RNAcentral
UUCUGUAGGCUGUUAAUUAAGUCAGAGGUAAAAUCUUUCGGCUCAACCGAAAGCCUGCUUUUGAUACUGGUUAACUAGAGGUAGUUAGGGGGCAACGGAACGUAUGGUGUAGCGGUAAAAUGCGUUGAUAUCAUACGGAACACCAAGGGGGAAGCCAGUUGCCUGGGACUGUCCUGACGCUGAGAGACGAAAGCGUGGGUAGCGAAAC